This 73-nucleotide transfer RNA is filed under the name Ixodes scapularis (black-legged tick). Its description in RNAcentral is "tRNA-Ser for anticodon GGA". It matches the Rfam family "tRNA". From Rfam's summary of the family: Transfer RNA (tRNA) molecules are approximately 80 nucleotides in length. Their secondary structure includes four short double-helical elements and three loops (D, anti-codon, and T loops). The record is from RNAcentral. Lineage: Eukaryota; Metazoa; Arthropoda; Arachnida; Ixodida; Ixodidae.
UCCUGGGUAACCCAGUUGGUAGAGCGCUCUACUGGAAAUCGAGAGGUCCCGGGUUUGAUACCCGGACCAGGCG